GAUCAUAUAUAUAGCAAGGGUUGGCCGGCCAUGUGCUAUUUGAGGUGGUGUGAACCCAACUUAAUAAAGAUAAAAUCUCAUUUUAACUAAGUCAAGUCAAGUGGGCAAGUGGGAGGAAAACACUUGAGUGUUUUUGAGAUAAAUUAGAUAGUAUAUAACUCUUCCAUCCCUCCCCAACCGACCACACCACCCUCUCUCAUUCACUCAUCUGAUUUUUGAAGACCUCUCAAAGUGUUCUCUCCAUUUUUCAAGCCCAAGAACACCAAGGAAACUUUGAGGCUAAGUCUUGGUCUAGGAAGUAUUUUCCCUAAGUUUGUUAGGGUUUUUGAAAGGUUUUGAAGGAGUCAAAGCUUAUAGGAAGGUCCAAACCUUAAGCAAGAACACUAAAGAGGUAAGGGCAAGGGCAGGGCAGAGCAGUGAGCGCUGGAGUCUUCCUUGCAAAUGUACAUGUGGACCGACCUUUUGGGAAGCCUUUUUAUUUUUGGAAAUGUUGUGUAAUUUUCCUAAACUAGGCUCACUCUAAUCUUUGUAAAACAUGUUUGUAACUAAAUGUUAAGUAUGGCCAUACGACUUUUUAAAAAGUUUUUUUUUCUAUGGGUUUUUGAGACAUUUUGUUAAAUUAAAACAUUUAUAUUUCCGCAUUAUCGAG
Humulus lupulus (European hop) is the source of this 649-nucleotide long non-coding RNA. RefSeq lists it as uncharacterized. The record is from RefSeq and is a predicted model, not a curated record. The transcript is spliced from 3 exons. NCBI's taxonomy places the organism in Eukaryota, Viridiplantae, Streptophyta, Magnoliopsida, Rosales, Cannabaceae.